This 265-nucleotide long non-coding RNA is filed under the name Elaeis guineensis (African oil palm). Its description in RNAcentral is "long non-coding RNA (EGUI_LNC036276)". Lineage: Eukaryota; Viridiplantae; Streptophyta; Magnoliopsida; Arecales; Arecaceae. The record is from RNAcentral.
UCCCUUAAUUUUAUAAAUAAGGUAAAUAUUCAAUCAAGCACAUUAUCAUAUUUCUACAUAAGAUCAAGUUUUCAUUGAUUAGCCAAACAUGAAUACAGAACAUGAGAAAAAUAUGAAAAUAUAUAAAAUGUAUGAGUGCUAAUUCCUAUACAGAUAAUAGAAAUAGAUUGCUAGGGUCACUAAAGCUCUAUAAAAGGAAUCCUAACAUCCUAAAUAAGUAUAGGUCAGAAUAAUCCUAAGAUGUAAAUCUAAGCUGACUAGAAGG